AUAAAAUUAUGAAGUUCAUCAAAUACGUCUUACUUUUACUGCAUACCUAAUCAGAAUACUAUAACCUAUGUGUAGACUUAAGCUUCACCAUAGGGCUUCUUGUAUGAACUCGUGUGUUAAUAAUCUUUCUCUUCUUUGUAUAUAUAUUAGUACGGACCGCCGCUCCUAUGGCAUAAGCCUUGGCAUUGUCUCUCGUCUCCUAUCUUUCUAACAUAUCCUAAAAUUAGAUGCAUCCAUAAUAAAUUUACAAGAACUUAGUGAGGUAUUAUCUUACAUUUAUUCAUCAUUUCACAUUAAAUAUAAACAAUGCACUUUACUCUAUGAACCCAAAAAGGUAUUCAUCAAACUCAGCAAGAACAUGUAUUAAAUCUUUACAUACCUUGUACUCCUUCAUAUUUUGUAAACAUUCUUAUCUCAGUCGUUAUCGCAUGACUUACUUACGGGUUGUACUAGUAACUUACUUUCCUUUUCACCUUCCUACUGAUGGUUAAGGCAAAUUUCGUCCGCUUCCCAUUAUCAUGCAUUUCUUGCCAUUCUUUCAUUGUCACAAAUUGGACAAUUGCGCUUUAUUCGGAGUUCACCACUUUGGCGUUGCCAUUAAAUCUUUGUCUCGAGGUCAAUUCAUAGACUGCGCCAUUAAGGCGUACUCUUAACUUCAGUUGUCUUCCCUUGUUUUUGGAAACUUCAGACACUCGCUUGAUCAACAGAUAGCCAUAAAGGCGACCAUACACCAUUAGAUAGCCAUAAAGGCGUCCAUAUAUCAUUAGAUAGCUACAAAUACAUCUAGACAUCAUACACUAAACUUCGCCACGAAAGCGAUUUCAACAAAAUCAGCCACAAAAGCUCACAUGUAAUAGAGAACAGCCACAAAGGCUUCCACAUAUAACAUAUCCUGCCACUAAGGCUCACAUAUAGCAUAUUUCGCCACAAGGGCUCACAUAUAACAUAGAAUAGCCACAAAGGCUUCCAUAUAUUAGAGAACAGCCACAAAGGCUUCCAUUUUUUGGUAAAUGGCAUUUUUGAUGAUAGAGAUUUUUCUAAACUCAACAUUUUGAGGUUUGCCCCUCAUCGCCUAGUACUUGCCCAACCAUCUUUUAUCUUGUCCCCACAUGAUACCAUUGUCCUAGACUAAGUCUUACACUAUGUGUUUCUCUUAUCUUCAUAUGAUGGUAUAGCCACCAUGACUAGGUCUUACACUAUAUGGUAUUCUUGCCAUGACCAUGGACUUUCAUUUUAGAAUUCGUGUUUAUUGUCCCAAUGGACUUCUAUGCAAGCAGACUCAACAUGCAGACUUAUGCGACUCAUGCAACUUAUGCACAAGCUUUCAUGUAGAGACUUAUUGAUGCAAAGACUUAGUCAUGCAAAGACUCUAUCAUGCUUCAGACGUGUUUAUGCAUGUACAUACUUUUCAACAUAACAGAGACUUAUCAUUCAACUCAUGUUUUCUUGCAUAUUUAUCGUUUUCAUACUUUUCUUUUUUGUAGCAGAGGCGCAUUGUCAUUUAGGCAUUAAGCCACACAUACAAGUUUAUUAGAUACACAUUUUCAUAGAAUUAACAUAUCACACAUACAUAGCUCACGUUUUGUUUCACAGAUCAAACUUUUAACACAGAAGAAAUAAGCAUAUAAACAUACAAACAUACAUAUACACACAAAGAGAUCAGUUAGAGAUUCGCGAGGUACUCACAGUACCCUCACGAUAUCCUCACAUAAUUCUCACCCUUUUCCUCACAUUUUGUAGCUUCAAACAUCAGAUCUGGGUUUCUUUCGAGUAGAUCAACAACCUCUAAAUGUUAAACCAUACAAAAAUCAUCAAGAUUUGCUCAUUUAACUCAUUUUUUCCUUUUUAUCUCAAACACUAAAAUCACAUAGCAAAUCUCUACCAAGCUUGCUUUACCAAGUUAAACAGAUCUGCUCUCCAACAACUUAGCAUGCAAAGUCGAGAAACUUACCUUACAAGGGGCAUCUCAGAGCUAAUCCUUUC
RNAcentral lists this long non-coding RNA (1983 nucleotides) under Gossypium barbadense (sea-island cotton). RNAcentral describes it as "long non-coding RNA (GBAR_LNC018106)". Lineage: Eukaryota; Viridiplantae; Streptophyta; Magnoliopsida; Malvales; Malvaceae. The record is from RNAcentral.